AGCUCUGGUGGUCUAGUGGUUAGAGCAUCCACCUCGGAUGUUUGAGGUCAUGGGUUUGAUCCCCGGUCGAGUCA
Molecule: non-coding RNA, 74 nt
Organism: Potamilus streckersoni
Lineage: Eukaryota; Metazoa; Mollusca; Bivalvia; Unionida; Unionidae
Source: the annotation of a GenBank genome assembly